GACGAACGCUGGCGGCGUGCCUAAUACAUGCAAGUUGGGCGCUGAAGGUUGGUACUUGUACCAACUGGAUGAGCAGCGAACGGGUGAGUAACGCGUGGGGAAUCUGCCUUUGAGCGGGGGACAACAUUUGGAAACGAAUGCUAAUACCGCAUAAAAACUUUAAACACAAGUUUUAAGUUUGAAAGAUGCAAUUGCAUCACUCAAAGAUGAUCCCGCGUUGUAUUAGCUAGUUGGUGAGGUAAAGGCUCACCAAGGCGAUGAUACAUAGCCGACCUGAGAGGGUGAUCGGCCACAUUGGGACUGAGACACGGCCCAAACUCCUACGGGAGGCAGCAGUAGGGAAUCUUCGGCAAUAGACGAAAGUCUGACCGAGCAACGCCGCGUGAGUGAAGAAGGGUUUCGGAUCGUAAAACUCGGUUGGUAGAGAAGAACGUUGGUGAGAGUGGAAAGCUCAUCAAGUGACGGUAACUACCCAGAAAGGGACGGCUAACUACGUG
RNAcentral lists this ribosomal RNA (497 nucleotides) under uncultured bacterium. Its description in RNAcentral is "partial 16S ribosomal RNA". It matches the Rfam family "Bacterial small subunit ribosomal RNA", at positions 28 to 507 of the family's 1533-position model. The record is from RNAcentral.